GGACCGCGUAAGGCGGAAAGUAACCAAUCCACAUCAGCUCUUGCAAAAUUUAAUUGAGCAAUUUAAUUUUUAACAUGAAAACAGUUGUACAAAUUUUGUGCAAAUUUCAUUGAAUUUUCUGCAUAGUACGAGGCAAAUUCCUUGAAAUUUUCAAAGGAAUCUACAUAAACGUUCUCUUGUAAGAAAGUGAAUUGCCAGGUCACAUUUGGCAAUAGCUAAUGUGGCUUGGUUCCUUUCUGAUUUACGCGGUCCAAUUAAAAGGAGCAGUGGAGAUUUUAAAUGGUAUGAAAAUAUAUUCAUUGCAAGUCGAAUUUAUGAAACUAUUAUCUGUUGAUUUAAACAAAUACAAUUUUAAGGGCACACACAUCGAAGGAACUUUCAGCCCUUUUACCUCUUCCAGAUUUUGUGACGAGUAUUCAGUUUUUUGUCGAGCCAUGCUGCUGGCUCGGGGGACCUUCUCCUCGAUUUUCAUCGCAUCAACUGUGAUGCUCACAUCUUCCAUGAAGAGCAACCCGGAGCUGCUUCCUUUCAUCUUAUCUCAAAUAAUUUAUUCCACUUUGGACGUCUUCCUUUUCUGCUAUUUUGGAGAAAUGUUCAUUCAAAAUAGCCAAAAAAUAAGUUCCGAGCUUUAUACUACGAAUUGGUACACUUUCUCUCGGAGAAGCAUACAAUUAAUGCGCAUCGUACACUUACGGGCUCAAAACCAGCUCGCCUUACCCUGUUCAAAAGAUACAUUGUCGUUGGUAUCCACUUGAUGGUUCAGGUUAGUGAUGUUAGAUCCAUGCAAUCAUAGAAUAAUGAUGCUUCGCAAUCAGAAGCGAACUGGGAUAGGGAAGUUGAAGCGAAGAAGAAGAACAUUUAGUACAGUACUGUUUACAAUUGAAGAAUGCGUGCCCGUGCGAUGUAACCGUAACGUGAAGGACUGAAAACUUGCUUUAUUUCAGCGUUCGGAAAUGAAAAGGUAGGUUUUGCAUCAAUUUUAUCAUUGUAAAAUGUAGUUCAUAAAAAGUAUCUCUCAUUUUCCAAUUUUCAUCAUUUUUCUCAGUAAUAAGCAAGUACGGGGUUUGCUUCAGCGCGUUCUUACGGGAGUUUCGCUUCUGAUUGCGAAGCAUCAUUAUUCUAUGCAUGCAAUGAUCACUUUUUUGCCGUGCUGAGGAAAAACGCCGUAUAAAUAUUCGAAAGUUGCCAAAUUUCUUUCGAUAAAUUCUUAUUUUUGAGGAAAGCUAUGAAUAUUUUCCCUUGAAAUUUUCAGGAACUUAAGGUGAAAUUGCGAACAAAAUUAUCGGAAGAAUUAGAGGAAAAAUUUUUACAAAUCUUCCUGAGUAUUCGUUUUUCACGAAAAGAAAUUUGGCAACGCCUGAAGGUUUAUGCAGCGUUUUUCCUUUGCACGGCAGUGUUAUGGACUGGGUAAGCGGAGAAAAGAAAACUUUUUUUUUUGGAGAGAGUUUUUUUGGCUUCUAGUCUUUUGUUAUAAAUCUUUAGGAAUCUACAGUCAUCUAUAGACGCUAUUUAUUGUCCUUAGACAUCAGGGAGAUAGACAUCCAUGCUCAGGCUUACAAAUUUUCACGGAUUAAGGCCGAGUGAAUUCAACUUGCAGAUCCACUCGUCAGUUCCACGGAAAUUUGUCGCCAUUUAGGCUUACAAAUUUCCAGGGAUUAAGGCCGAGCGAAUUCUGCUUGCAGAUCCACUCGUCAGUUCCAUGAAAAUUUGUCGCCACCACCAGGAUUCGAACCCGGGACCUAUUGACCGCCUAUUGGACGUAUUUGACCUAUUUGUCGGGUGGUCAGACGCGCUGACCACUAGGCCAACCUGGCCGGCAAAAGAAAAACUUGGUG
Molecule: long non-coding RNA, 1835 nt
Filed under: Bemisia tabaci
Lineage: Eukaryota; Metazoa; Arthropoda; Insecta; Hemiptera; Aleyrodidae
Description: lncRNA ENSSWEETPG002211
Source: RNAcentral